RNAcentral lists this ribosomal RNA (500 nucleotides) under uncultured bacterium. RNAcentral describes it as "partial 16S ribosomal RNA". It matches the Rfam family "Bacterial small subunit ribosomal RNA", at positions 30 to 523 of the family's 1533-position model. The record is from RNAcentral.
AUUGAACGCUGGCGGAAUGCUUUACACAUGCAAGUCGAGCGGCAGCACGGACUUCGGUCUGGUGGCGAGUGGCGAACGGGUGAGUAACAUAUCGGAACGUAUCCAAUAAUGGGGGAUAACUAAUCGAAAGGUUGGCUAAUACCGCAUACGCACUACGGGGGAAAGAAGGGGAUCUUCGGACCUUGCGUUAAUGGAGCGGCUGAUAUCUGAUUAGCUAGUUGGUGAGGUAAAGGCUCACCAAGGCGACGAUCAGUAGCUGGUCUGAGAGGACGACCAGCCACACUGGAACUGAGACACGGUCCAGACUCCUACGGGAGGCAGCAGUGGGGAAUUUUGGACAAUGGGCGCAAGCCUGAUCCAGCCAUUCCGCGUGAGUGAAGAAGGCCUUCGGGUUGUAAAGCUCUUUCGCAAGGGAAGAAAACUUACUUUCUAAUAAAGAGUGAGGUUGACGGUACCUUGAUAAGAAGCACCGGCUAACUACGUGCCAGCCGCCGCCGUAA